This is a long non-coding RNA of Triticum dicoccoides, 3276 nucleotides long. RefSeq lists it as uncharacterized. NCBI's taxonomy places the organism in Eukaryota, Viridiplantae, Streptophyta, Magnoliopsida, Poales, Poaceae. The transcript has 2 exons. The record is from RefSeq and is a predicted model, not a curated record.
GAGAAAGGGGGAGAGCACGGGUGGAGACUGGAGCGGCGAGGGUUUUGGUGCCAGCGCCGCUGGGUGGAGAAACCCCAUCCCUCGCGCCCUCCGCCUGCCGCCGGGAAUCUGGCAGGGCUCCGGAUCUGCUCGGCCGCCGCCGGCAUCGGCCCCUUCGCUUCGGGUGAAAGGCCCAUAUGGGGAUGGAUAUGUAGAUAGAUGGAUCGGCUCAGGUUCGAGUUCGAAAUGUGAUCAGCUGUUGCAUUCACAAGGUUGAAGCCCCUGAGAUGGCUAAUAAAGCGCUAGUCUUCUCUGUUCUGGACGCUGAGACAUGUGGUGCUUGGGUUAGCUGUUGCUUUUGCUCAAGCUCCGCCGCUGACUAAUGGGCGGCCUUCCUUCUUCCUUCUCUUCAUCCCAGCGCACGUGUCACCGUGGUGAGACAGCUGCCGCUGACGUCAUCGUCGUCACCACUACCACCAUCGCCUGGUCUCUAUUGAUCCACCCAGACAUGCCCAAUGCCAGCUUUGAAGCCCACUGCAUUAGCCUAUGAUGAACCUGAAAUCUGAGGGCCAUGUUGUAAUACAAAUUCUCUGUAUUUUCAUCUGAAUCGAACUCUUUUGCGUGGACUCACUAUAAAACAGCCAUGCUUGCAUAUGGUGUUAUACUGUUGUGUAGUGCGUGAUGGUUGAACACCACCUCACAAUGUGUGGAGCAGUGCUUUGGGCCAUGCAUGUGCUCCUGCCUGUCUUUGCCAAGAUCUGGGCUAGUGUUUUGGUAAGGUAAUUAACUGAUCGCACUGAAUCAGCCACACCCAUCCCUCGUCGUUAGACAUGAUGGCAUAGGAUCACACUCUUAAGAGAUUUUACCAGUCCACUCUCAGGUUAAUUUUUUUGUACAUUUAUAUUCUUGUUUUCGUUUCUUUUACCUUAUUUUGUGUAAUUUAUCAUACCAAAAACUGUUCAUUUGCCAUUUUCGAAUGCAGGUUGGCUCUUUUGUAGGAAAUAUGGCAUGCUUUUGCUACAGAAAUAGUGAUUUAACAAACGUCUUUUAUUUCUUUGCUGUUUUUCUUUCUGUUACUUUUCUUACCAGUUUAACCUCAUAUAGCAUCUUACCCCAUUUAAUAAAAUCCUAAUUGUGAACUUGUGUCGCACUAGAAUUUCUGUUUGAGUUUUUUGGGAUGGUGGUUACUGGUUAGAAGCAUGUGUUGCCUAAUGAUGAAAACUAAUAUAUAGAGAUGGCACAUGACUCCUCUCUCUCUCUCUCUCUCUCUCUCUCUCUCUCUGAGUGUGUGUGUGUGUGCAUGCGUGCAUUGACAGUAAUUCUACCUUUGUUCAUGCCCUUAUGGGUGAAUUGAAGAUCAUCUCUUGUGCCAUCAAUGAAUGCUACAUAUAUGAACACCUGAAGGCACAAGCUUCAUUUUUGUAUCACAAAUUACUGAUGAACUUUUGCUUGAUAUAUUUAUUCAGUUUCAUCCUCCAGAACUGUCUAUAUUUUCUUGAUGCGAACCCUUUCAUUUGCAUUGCUGUCUCUUAUGUUUAGAUUUUGCAUUAUUGCCAUUUGGCUUCUUCAAUUUUUUGAAUUUGCUUGUUUCAUCGGAUCACGUUCAGAUUUGUCCUGUUAAUUUGUUUAUUGUGUUUCUACUAUCUUUUCGUUUUGCUUUGAUUUGCUUUAUUAGGCUAUUUGAUCUGAUCAAUCUCGGCAUAGAUUUGCUUUCUUAGUUUGUUCGGUGCAUUUCUACUGUACUAUAUUUUUGCUUGUUACUUGGGUUUGCUCUAGGACCAAUGAUGAUUACGAUGGAACCCCCAUGCAUGGAUGGAUGGAUCGACCGGCAUAGGUUUGGGCUCCAAACAGGGUCACAAUUGUUGAAACUCCUGAAAUGGCUAAUGCAGCGCUCUCUUCUCUGAUCUUGGCGCCGAGGUGUGUGUUUGGGGAUCGGAUGCAAGCUCCGCCACUGACAGAUGGGGCUGCCCAUAUGGCAGGUCUAUCUCUUCUUCUUCUUCUUUUCCUGCUGCUGCCGCUGCAGUUGUUGACAUCUCUGGCACCUCACGUACUACACCGGUGCACCAAGGCACGCCCCAGUGCCAGCUUUGAAGCCCGCUUCAUUAGCCUGUGAUGCUGAAAUCUGAGGGUCAUAUUGUAAUACAACCUCUUUGGUAUUUUCGUUGGAAUCGACCUCUUUUGCAUGUGCUCACUGCCAAACAGCCAGGGUGCACAUUGUGCUGUCAUGGUGUGACACUGUCAUGUGGAUGCCCAAUGGUGUAAUGGACCUCACAAUGUGUCAGACAUGGCGUGAGGGCGUGAGGUAUCCACUGGGGCAUGCAUGCUUAGCUUCUCUUGCUUCACUAUCUUGGUAUCUUGGCCAACGAUUAGGCUAUAGUGUUCUGAGUAAAGGUAUGUGCUUGAUGGAUCAUUGAUCCACAAUCAAUGACACAAAAUCACUCACAUCCCUGUGCCAUGUCUGAGUUUGUUGUUUUGCUUUUCACCUCAGCGGAGGAAAAUCUUUGCUGUUUCAUGAUUUAUCAUGACUGAUCACUGUAGUAAAUCAGCUUGCAUUUGAGUUCCGAUCUCGAAGCGGUAGCCCUUUACCAGCUUGCAUUUGGUUUCUGUCUGUAAUGUUUAUUAGUGGUUUUAAGCUAGUAUUUUGGUUAUGAUUUGUGCUUCAAAAUUGUCCAUGAAGUCCUGAUACUGUUUGUAUACACCAAUUAGUAAUGCCUUCUAUAGAGAUGGCACAUUACAUGGUCCCUCCUCCCCCUGCCUCUCUCUCUCUAUCUCUCUGAGCAUGGUGUGUGUGCACACGCGCGCAUCCGUGCACUGACAGCAAUUCUACCUGUAUUCAUGCCCUUAUUGUGUUUGCUUGCCUUUGCUUUGGCUAUUUGAUCUGAUCGAUCUUGAUAUAAUUUUGUUUUCUUGGUUUAUUUGGUGGUACAUUUUUACUGCUAUAUAUUUUGCGUGUUACUUGGAUUUGCCCUUGGCCCAAUGAUGAUUACGAUGGAGCCCUCAUGCAUGCAUGGAUGGAUCGCCUUAGAUUUGAGCUCUAAACAGGGCCAGCUGUUGCACUCGCAAAGUUGAAGCCCCUGAAAAUAGUUAAUGCAGCACUGUCUUCUCUGUUCUGGGCGCUGAGGCAUGUAUGUGUCUUGGGUCAACCGUUGACACUGACUCUGGGCCAUGGCAAAAGGUCUUCUUCAUCAUCAUCAUCAUCAUCUUCUUCUUCUUACUGUUGAACCAAGGCAUGCCCCAGUGCCAGCUUUGAAGCCCACUGCAUUAGCCUGUGAUGAAACUGAACUCUGAGGGUCAUAU